This 73-nucleotide transfer RNA is filed under the name Trichococcus flocculiformis. RNAcentral's name for it is "tRNA-Lys". It matches the Rfam family "tRNA". From Rfam's summary of the family: Transfer RNA (tRNA) molecules are approximately 80 nucleotides in length. The record is from RNAcentral. RNAcentral also lists the same sequence under 5 other names. Lineage: Bacteria; Bacillati; Bacillota; Bacilli; Lactobacillales; Carnobacteriaceae.
GGGUAAUUAGCUCAGUUGGCAGAGCAGCUGACUCUUAAUCAGCGGGUCGGGGGUUCGAGCCCCUCAUUACCCA